Molecule: ribosomal RNA, 57 nt
Filed under: Ophiocordyceps cantharelloides
Lineage: Eukaryota; Fungi; Ascomycota; Sordariomycetes; Hypocreales; Ophiocordycipitaceae
Description: partial 18S ribosomal RNA
Rfam family: Eukaryotic small subunit ribosomal RNA
Source: RNAcentral
AUAGAGUGAGAAAGUCGUAACAAGGUCUCCGUUGGUGAACCAGCGGAGGGAUCAUUA